This 383-nucleotide unclassified non-coding RNA is filed under the name soil metagenome. RNAcentral describes it as "partial contains 5.8S ribosomal RNA, internal transcribed spacer 2, and large subunit ribosomal RNA". The stretch from base 1 to 120 matches the Rfam family "5.8S ribosomal RNA", at positions 35 to 154 of the family's 154-position model. The record is from RNAcentral.
GAUGAAGAACGUAGCGAAAUGCGAUAAGUAAUGUGAAUUGCAGAAUACAGUGAAUCAUCGAAUCUUUGAACGCACCUUGCGCUCCUUGGUAUUCCGAGGAGCAUGCCUGUUUGAGUGUCAUGAAAUUCUCAACCUUUCUGGCUUUUGCUAGUCAGGCUUGGAUUAUGGGAGCUGCUGGCUUUUGAAGUCGGCUCUUCUAAAAUGUAUUAGCAAGAUCAUUGCUGCUCAUCAUUGGUAUGAUAAUUAUCUAUAUCAUUGAGAGUCAGUUUCCUUUAUUGGAAGAUUUUGCUCCUAACGGUCUUUAGCAAGACAACAUUUGACGAUUUUGACCUCAAAUCAGGUAGGACUACCCGCUGAACUUAAGCAUAUCAAUAAGCGGAGGA